CACGGCCAUACCACCCUGAAUGCACCGGAUCUCCUCUGAUCUCGGAAGCUAAGCAGGGUUGGGCCUGGUUAGUGCUUGGAUGGGAGGACAAAUCUGGACUUUGCCUUGC
This 109-nucleotide ribosomal RNA is filed under the name Echinops telfairi (small Madagascar hedgehog). The record is from RNAcentral. Lineage: Eukaryota; Metazoa; Chordata; Mammalia; Afrosoricida; Tenrecidae.